Long non-coding RNA from Beta vulgaris subsp. vulgaris (sugar beet), 3577 nucleotides. RefSeq lists it as uncharacterized. NCBI's taxonomy places the organism in Eukaryota, Viridiplantae, Streptophyta, Magnoliopsida, Caryophyllales, Amaranthaceae. The record is from RefSeq and is a predicted model, not a curated record. The transcript has 4 exons.
CCUCUCUCCCCCUCUCUCUCUCUCGUACUCUUUUCUCUCCUCUCAAGAACGAAGCAACUUCAUGUCUUGCACUGUUCGUCGAUCUUCACCUCGUCAUUCAUCAGCGAAGAAUAACAAAGCCAAAUCUUAAUCCCGUCGUUCAUCACCUCGUACAUCUCUCUUAGCCCCUCAACGUUCAUCUCGCUAGCACUUCUCCUCUUCUCCCUCGUCGUUCGUCUUCGUCGCCGCAGAUCUCGAGGAGGGAGACUUUUAAUCACCUGGCAAGUUGGUUAGAGGAUGCAAGGCAACAUGCCAAUGCAAACAUGACGAUCAUGCGUAUAAGUAAAAUGUGAUCUUGCUCAUAGGAGGACAGUAAACACUGAAGAAGGCAAGCAAUUUGCCAAGGAACAUAGAUUGAUAUUCAUGGAGUGUUCCGCAAAAACUGCUCGGCAUUUAUAAAAACUACUGCAACAAUCUACAAGAAGAUCCAGGAUGGAGUUUUUGAUGAAUGAGGUUAGCUUAUCCUACCUUUUUCUUGCUUCAAAUUUUAUUGUUGCAUUGACACUGUACAAGAAGAUUCAGGAUCGAGGUCAUCCAUGAGUGGUAUGCCAUUUGAUCUACUUGGCAUCACGACACUGCUCAACGUUUCCUUCAAUCCUUCCAUUGCUUUGAAUGAUUGGAUUUAGUUAUUUAAAACAAUAUUAUUUUCAAUAUGACAUCUUUACUAAUCUUAUAAUCCAAGUUUGAGGCAUACAUAUCAUUACUUGAAAUCCUUUGACUUUAGAGCAUCACUCCAUAAUCCAAAUCAUCUGCAGGUUCUGUGUAGCUUCCUGAGUAAAUGAAUAACAUUUGUACCUCUUUUUGGUUUUCCUUUGUGUUGUCUUUGUAUCCAUACAAGUUUUCUUGCGGGUUUCUUUUACCCCUUGCAUCUCACCAGUCCUUGAAGGAGGAAAGAGAAAAGUGAAAAUAAUUAUAUUGAAAAAGAGGGUGUAGAGUGCAUUAGUCUCUGCUCUAUGCUAAAUGUGUCAUUGGAAAGAGUGUUAGAUAUGUUCCACUAUCAGUGAGCAUGCUUUUUGAAAGUUUGACAAUGAUUUCCGUCAUUUACGAGUGUGCUGCAUUCUUGUUGCUCAACAUAUGUAAAGCUUAAAAAGCAUUGCUUGUUCAUUUGUUAAGCUUCUGUAUCUAUGUUUACUUUUUAAAUUUGCGGAACAAUGCAGGUUGGCUGGUUGCUGCUUCAACUGAGAUUUUUAUCUGUUCCUUAUAAUGUUUUCUCGCUUUUGUGAUCAUCAUCCUGAGAUGCCGCUCUAUGCAGGAUCUAAUACAUCUUUAUUAUCUAUGCUUUUCGUCAUAUAUCUGAUUGAUUUGAUGCAAAAUAUUUUCACUGUCUAAAUGAUACUCUAAAUUUGGCUAGAAGUAAUAUGAAUUUUGCUGAACUAGUGGGAGGAUAUUUUAAGGGAAUUAAGGUGAUGGUCUUUUUUUGUUUUCUCUCUUGCAUAUGGCCCUUACCUCAUGAUCUGAAACAUAUAACACUUCAUGCACAGUAAAUAGAUGUAAGUGUAAGGUAUUUGGUGUGUUAAAACAUGUCCUCACUCUAUUUGGUGUUUUUUUUCUUUUUCUUGGUUUUGUUUUUAUUUGCAUUUACCCUUCCUCUUAACCCUUUGAGCCAUAUCCUUUUCCAUAAUUAUCUCAAACAAGCCAAUUGCCUCCUUUUUUUUUUCACCCUUGUAGUGAAUAGUAAAGUUAGAGCGAUUGUCUUGAGUGAUAUUUGAAAAAAAAAGGAAAGGAAAAUGAUUAGAUUCUUGUGGUGUAGUGGAAAUUUUAUGUAUAUAUUUGAAUAAAUGCAAUUGCAAAUUCAUAGAAAAAGUCACCCAAAGUCAAAGAUGGUUGGGAAAAUGAAAAAAAAAAAAUGAAAAAAGAGAAAAAGAAAGAAAAUCUAAAGAUAGUUCAUUAUUGUCAUGUUUUUUAAUAAGUUUGGGGGAACCUUAUCCCUAAAUGAUUGAGCAUGAUUUUUGAUUUAUGGUUAUUUAUCUCUUUUGCUCCUACUAGACUUCACUAUAUUAGAAUUGAGCACCACUAUCUAAAUUUAUUCACACCCUUUAGCCCUAGCAUGCAUUACCGCCUUAAAAAGUCCUUUUGACCUUAGAGGGUUGAGUAAUUGUCGGUGGUGUAAGAUUAGAAUCAAGCAUAUGAGCGAGUGUGUCAUGUCGAGAUAUCAAGUAACCUUCUCCUAUUCUAUUUCUUGUUACAUUCAUCGGCUCCAUUUUCAAAGUUUAGAGAAGCUACCGUGAGUAGUGAAUUUGAAACUAUUUGAGAGAACGCGGUAUGUAUGGUUGUAGAAUUUCAGAGAAUGUGCUAUAUCUAGUUCUCUAUGCUUAGUGUAUGGUAUGUUUUAAUCAACCUAUGGACAUCUUUAAGAAUGCUUACUUUUAGUGUCUAGAAAUUCUUGCAUUCAUUUGUGUUUGCUCCUUUCCAAAAUCUCGCUUAAGAGCACCCUUUUUAUUUUCUUUUGGCUUUCUUUGGGUUUUUAUUUUUGGUUUGCCUUCGAUUCUAAGAUUUAGAGUUGUGGUAAAACUCUUAAAAAACCCUUAUGAGAGCAUUACUCUUACUCACUGGCAACUUUGGGGUUUAAAUAGCUUGUCACUUCGUUAAAGGUGACCGUGAUUCCUACGAAAAUGAGUUAGUGUAUAUAGUUAUUUAUUUAUGUGUACUUAGUUUUAGCAAACUUUGCAUUGCUAUCCUCUUUGUGGCAUUUCCUUCCCUCAUAUGUCUUUUUACACAUUGCUUGAGGACAAGCAAAUAUUCAAGUUUGGGGCAAGUUGAUGAGUGAGAUUUAUCUCACUCUUAGAGUAGUUUUAAGGAUAUUUCACUUAAUUUAUUUCCCAUAUUAGUUUUCUUUUUACUUAAUUUCACCCUUUUUUUUUCUAUCUAACUCUCUUUUAGCACAUAUGAACAUGUCUAAUCAUCCCCCUCCCUUACUCUUUCAUUUGAUCUUUGAUGUGUGGGAACUCAAGCUCCUACAAGCUUAGAGGGGGAGAAAAAAGGGAAGCAAGGAGGAAGAAGCCUGCCCGAGAAUCACAAGGCUUGCCCGAGAAAAGAAGCCGCCCGAGCUUUAGACAGAUCACCCGGGCCAGGCCGCCCGCUCGAGCUAUAGGACCGCCCACCCAGGCUCUUCAGUGGCCAAACAUUCUACCCCUUAUGUGAAUAAUGGGGCACCCCCGAGCCUCUAACUCGAACCCACUCAACCCGCACCGCUUAGGCCCUCACUAAACUCGCCCAUGCUUCCUCUCACAUCCCGCCCAGAACCAUAUUCAAGGCCACCUAAGGUAAAAAGCACCACUUGCAACCGGAGCAGGGUUGAUCUAUGCUCAGCUUUGUAGUCUAACGCAAAUAUUUUGGAGGAAUAAGAUGCAAUGAACAUGUUUACCAGUAACAAUGUAUUAAAUUUAUGUUGCGUGUCAAAAUAAUGUAUCAAAGACGUGAUGGUUGAAUUUUUCAUGUGCAAGAGUAUAAAUCAUGAUGUUGACUACAAAAAUUGGCCUGUCCAAUUGUAGUGUAAGAAUAAUAUAUGCAGAGUUUAAAUAAAAAUACCAUAUGAGAU